Molecule: long non-coding RNA, 884 nt
Organism: Salvia miltiorrhiza (redroot sage)
Lineage: Eukaryota; Viridiplantae; Streptophyta; Magnoliopsida; Lamiales; Lamiaceae
Exons: 2
Source: RefSeq, a predicted model, not a curated record
UAGCUUCUAUAGCAAAGACCCCCUUAUAGUUAGAAGUAAGAAGUAAUAUAGACCACUGAUUUUAGUUAAAUCAACGUUCCAGAUUUACUUCCAUCAUCGGCUUUAUUAAUUAAAAUUAGUACUGAAAAUUGGGUUCAUACGAAGAAGGGCUAAAAACGUCAAAUUCAUUACUUUGGUGAUAUGGAAUUCCAAUCAAAUCCCGGUAGUAUCUCGCCUUCCUUCCAGAUGUCGAUUGAACAAGAUCUCUUUGAAUUUGAUUCAAAGGUUUGUUCAGAAGGGUUUGUCUACGCACUCUUUUUCCAUCUCCCCAUCUUGUUUGACUGUUAUCACCAUGGAGCGGCGAAAAGAAACAGCAAGGAUUAACGUUCACGAGCUGAGGCAGAAGAACAAGGUGGAGCUGCUGGCGUAGCUGAAGGAUCCGAAGGCAGAGCUGGCGCUGCUGCGGGCGGCGAAGAUGAUCGGCGGCGCUCCGAACAAGCUGUCGAAGAUCAAGGUGGUUAGGUUGUCGAUUGCACAGGUAGUUCAUCACCUCACGAACUGAUAUAUCAAUAUCAUGUUCACAUAUGUGCAGAACGACGUUCAAGAAAAAUAGCGUGAAUGUUCAAAAGACGCAUACCUAAUACAUGUUAAUUUGAUUUUUUUUUUUUGUUAGUUUUGUGUUAUAACUUGUUGUGUAUCUAUUCCAUUGCAAGCAUUUUCUUAAUUGAUAGAUAUUAAUCAUCCAAUAGGCUGCAGUGUGCAUAUGUCAGAGCGUGUAGGAAGCCAUUUUCAUUGUGUUGUAUAGCUUUGUUGUUGUGUUUCCAAACAAUAUUUUGUAUUUCCUUUUUGUAUCACUUGGAAUCAAUUCUUUUUGAGUGAUUUAUCCAAGAUUUGGUUUUCAUUUA